UGUCUUGCCCAAAAGCCAUUCCUGCUGGAAAAAGUCAAAAGGGUUCCUGGCAUUAAAACGACCUUGCGUCAUUCCUGAUGAAAUUAGCAGCGCUGCAUGUUUAGAGCUUUUCUAUGGAUGCACUUUGGUCACAGUAAGAAGUAAGAGAUUUGGGGUUUAACCCCCCCAUCUGUACAGGAGAUGUCUGCUUUCAUUAGCUGCGAAACCCGAGACUGGCACUCGAAAGCGCCUUAGACCUGCAGUCCAUUUUUUACUUGUCUUUAAGUGCAAGCGAUGGGAAUUGCUAACCUCGGCUAAGAAAAUUUCAUUUCCCCCAUCCUGCUAAACGGUUCUGGUCGACAUAUGUUUGUUAUCAGAGAGAGGUGCUAUGAACACAGAGCCAUUUUCUUAGCAGCUCUUUGACUCUGUGUUACCAUAGUCCCACACGGCAUUGGUCCUUUCCCGUUGGGAAGUCAUGAAUAAGAGACUAUGAAGCUUGCACGUCAGAUCUUCCUCAAUUAAUCCACCAUUAGCAUGUUUGGGAUCCUCUACUGGAUGGUUAACAGCAGCUUUGGUAACUGUAUGCUGUCCAUACCCAAUUAUGCUCUGCUAAAAAUGAACUCUGCAGAACAACCUUCCUGAGCUGUCAGUGUCUCCCGUUUUCCUAUUUUAACGCUUGUGUGUAGUGGCAGGCGACAGAUGGUGUAGAUCAGAUCGAUUUGAUUGCAUUAGGCGAUUUUUUUUUCCUCCUCUCCCCCCCGACUCCUCUUCUGGAAGCCCACAUUCAUCUGAGAGGCGAUCGCCGGGGACAUGGGAAGCAAGAGCAGCCGCCGAUGUGUGAAAGCAACGAGACAUGGCCAGCCAGAGGCGCCGGGGUCCCUUCCCGGGGUUUGUUAACAUGGUAAUCCGGCACCAGGAGAGAAAGCUGCUUUCUGCUGCCCAGAGCCCAUUCCCCAUCACACAUCAGAUGACUCCCUGGUUUUACACACAGUUGGAGUUCUGCUCGAAACCUGGAUUUAAAGGGAAUCUGUUGCCGCGUGUGACAUCCCUUGCGAGCUCCCAGAGAGAAUUGAUGGAGCAUACAGCUAGGGAAUAGGAUGCCAGAGAAGCACAGAGGAAGAAAGCAGGCAAUCGCCAGGAUGGGAAGGUUCAGCGUCCAUUGGAUAUGGGACGAGAUCACUCGGCACCCCUUGUGGAUUCUCCUUCUUCUAGAGGGGAAUUAUAGUUAUGGAUUUAUUGUCCCGGUGCAGCACUUCCAGCAGCAGCAGCCGCAGCAACAGCAGCAGCUUUCUGACUCUCUUCGGUGACGGGUAUUCUUGGGUGGAUAAUACGGAUUACGUUGUUAUUGCUUAAGAAUACGCGUAGUCGAGGAGAGUACCGGCGGCGGGCAGGCAGGCAGGCAGCGCGACCGCCCCCAGCCCACCAGCUGGCUCCUAACCUCCUCUAGUUGCCAAGCCGUCCAGCUUAAGUCUCCUGAACUAGCCCGUCUUCCUUCCUCGCAAUGCCAAAUGACCCAUGGAAAGCUGUAGAUCUUCAGUCUGUGGGGACAAUCUAACAUCGGCAACUUCUGGGGUUGCUGCUACAAGGUGAGCCUCGGACCCUGCCUACGCUCUGUGCUCCCAGACGUUGGCCCCACGACGGCAAACGGAGUGACGUCCGAGUCCCGCUUCCCCCGGCCGCGGCACUGGGUGUUUGCUGCUCCCGGAGCUGCCCGCGUGCUGCGGGACACCCAGCUGCCCGACACCUGACCCAGCUCGGCCGCUGGCGGGGACGCUGCUGGGGCCGGCUUCUCCCUGCUUGUUUCUGCCUGCCUGCCUUAUUCUUCUGAGUUAUGCCCCAGCCCACGCCCAUCCCGUUGUGCCACUGCCUCCGGGCUGUGUUGAGUUUUCAAUUAUCACAAUAUACAAUGCAGAUGAUAUGUAAAACAGCUCGUGUGACUUGAGCAGGCUGAGCUCAGUAGACAUACAGUUAAAUAAAAAGUACUGCUAUAAUACCAGGAGGCUGAUUGGAACCACAAGACACCGGUGUCAUAUCCUGCGGCUUUUAUGUUGGUAGAUGUAGAUUUUAGCCAUUAGAGCCUAGCUAUCCAACAGAUAACAACCGGAGGAAAUGGAUCUGGGUAUCUUCAGUUAUGAAUAACUGAUACACUUUCGCCAAUAAAUGGAGGACCUGGUAAACUGCCAGAAGAAAAAAAUCUUUUCAGAUACCUACAAAUAUAAUCAGGCAUGUAGUAUGUGGUAGCAUCUAACUAAGUAUAACUUGAAGAAACUCCCCAAUUGCUCACAAUACAUUUAAAAUGGUACAUCAAGAGAGCUCUGACCUCAGAGAACCAAUGUGUGGUUACAUUGUCAAUUCCAAAUUCAGAUAAGGAAAUAAAUAGCAAGCGUAGGUCUCAUGUAUCUGUACAAGCAGUAACAAACCCCCUUUGUCAGGUUUCAUGAUAUCUAGGUGGAGGUAAAAUGCUAUGACGAAAGAGGGAGAAAUAAGCAAAAAAUACAAUAAUGUAAAAUGUGCCUGUUACUAACUUCUGGAAAAGCUCAACAGCUAGAACUUUAGAAUGUGGUAUGUAGGCAAAUGUAAAGAGAGCAACACAAUAAGUGUGUUUUUCUCCAGAGCAAAAUGAAAUAGGUAUACAGAGCAAAUUAUAAUAUUUAGUACUUUCAGGGCAAAUUCUAGUUGAGGAUCAUGAAGUAAUUUGAAAAUAUUAAUAAAUUAGCCUCACAGCUAGCUUUCAGGUAGAUAAUAAUGAUAAUUAUUACUAUAAAUAAAUAUUAUUAUUAUUAUCAUUCUUGCUCCAAAGAAAUGAAAAUUGAGGCAUAGAGUAUUUAUGUAUUUGUCCAAAGUCUGUGUUUUACUACUGUAACCAUCCUUCUCUAGAACUAUUAUAUAUCAAAGUUUACCUUUUUCCAAAUACUGUGUGCAAUACACUAUUCAGCUUAUGAGCUCUAAAAACCAACCAGCUGAGCUUCCUUAUGAAACAGUGCCUGUGAACAUCUCCAUUUGCAUUUGAAUUCUCAAGCAGCGACAAUCCUGCUUAAAAAAAAUAUAAAUAAAAAAGGAAUCAUGAGAAUCAGUACAAAAUCUGUCAAGGCCCCAUCUGUGACUGGGUAUCAGAAUAUCGCUAAGAAGCUCUGAGGAACAAAGUUCAUUCCAAGUCUAACACAUAGUGCUUUUUGCUAGAUGAAAUUAAUUCAAGCAGGGUGAAAUGAGGGCACAUACCAUGAAAAUCUCUGUUCCUCCACUGAGGAGUGAAGGAAAGCAGCAUCUCUGCUGUGUGUGUGGUCUUGGUUUUGGUACAUGUAGCUGUGCUUAAAUACUAAAGGUUUUACACCGCAAAAUACUCAGUGUGCUCACGUCUCCUUUUCAUGGCCACGUAUACCUGCUGCUUCUCUGAGGAGUGUCAGGGAAUGAGUGAUCUCUGGUCCUGACAAGAUGAGGACUUAGAUUAUGUAUGCUUGUUGCAAAAAGCAAGCUUUCAUAGCUAGCUACCUGAAGUAGUAUGGAAACAAAAUGAUAGACUCCACCCUGGCCUUGAAAAUACCCCUACAAACAUGUUUAUUUCCUUCUGAAUGGGAAUUUAUAAAGGGUAGGGGCACUUAUUUGUAGGCUAUUUAUAUAGCUCCUCUUCAGGAUCUGAAUUCCUAAAAGUCUUGGCCAUGGCUUUUUGCUCUCACACAUGCAAUAUUUGAAAUUAACUAAGGAAAUAGGAGAACCACAGCAUUAACACCAUUCUAAUGCACUGUAUUAUUUUUCUUUCCCUUUUUUAACCAUUAGAGUAUGCAAAUGUUCAGUUAACUGGUCCUCAUGUUUCCUCUUUAUUGAAUUGCUUUCACUAUGGCAAAUAAAUAUUCAUAAAGAAAUGUGGACAAUAAAUCAUUUCAAAUAGUUCAAAGCCAUUUUCUUUCUAGACUGCAUAUAUAUUCAGCUGUGACUCGCCUUUAAUAUUUCAUUCAAAAGGGAGACUUGUAGAAGGACAAUAGAGAUAAUGUGUCAAGCAGUAAUUAAAACAGGGCGUAAUGAUUAAAACCAUUUUGAUCUACACUGUGCUCUGUCAAAUUCAUAAUCUCCUGUGUUUGUUAAGAUGACUUUCUACUUGCUUUAUACAGAAACUCAAAAUAAACUUCUGUUUGAAGACACUGUACAGAACAAAAGAUUUCAACCCUGAGUUUGUGGAGUCCAGAGCCCUUCUCAGCUCUGGAGUUUAGGUAUAUCUUCUGUACCAUCCUAGCAAGAGAAACUCAGGCAGGCACUGUCCCUCCUGCUGAUAUUGUGACUUCUCUGGGAAGUAGAUCCAGGUGCAGGGCAGAAGACAACCAAGGGCCACCCCAAUGUGUAUAGGCACAUGUAAGCUGUCUCACCAUUUAGAUUUCAGCUAAGAGCUCUAACAGAAAUGAAAGUUAAAGAUCUGGUUAGCUUACACAUUUGGGGAUCUUGGUUUAAAUCCAAGUAACAAUGAUGUUCCUUGUCUCAUUAUAUGCAUUUUGGCUACUAAUACACAUAUUUGGCCCAAACUCACUAUCUUUCCUGAUUUGUUGCUGACUUUAGUCCCAGAUUGAACAGAGCACUUACAUACAGACUUAAAUAAAUUGAUUUAGGAAAGCA
This is a long non-coding RNA of Aquila chrysaetos chrysaetos, 4581 nucleotides long. RefSeq lists it as uncharacterized. NCBI's taxonomy places the organism in Eukaryota, Metazoa, Chordata, Aves, Accipitriformes, Accipitridae. The transcript is spliced from 5 exons. The record is from RefSeq and is a predicted model, not a curated record.